GGUCACGUUACUAACUUAACUCUUUAAUUAUUUUUAUAAUUAUUUUCCUUCGCUCUCCCAUUUAAAUUCUCUAAUUCCUCGUAUAGGACCACUGACGUGACGUCAUACCUCGGUGAUGGAACAUACUCCACCUAUCGAGAAUUAUUUCGCGUUCGGUGAGUUUGACGUCGUACUCUUGGAAGGAGAGACGAAUGUUCAUCACUUGACCUGUGGCUGUAGGUGAAGUUGGUUGCUACCAUAGAAUAUUAGAAUGGCGGUUGGUUUUUUAUUUUAUAACAUCAGUGAAAAGAAAAAAAUUACCACAAAUGGUUUUCUACAGUAGGGUGGCAUGUGGGUAGAACAACCCCUCUUGGAAUCGGAAUAGAAAUCACCGCCAUUUUGGAGUAACCACAUGGUGAACUCAUAGCCCUUUGACACCUAGGGAAACCACUACAGCCACAGUCAAGUCACCUUGGGAAUAUGUCUAAUUGGGAGCAAGCUAUGGGAGCGUUCCAGCUCAAUUUUCGUCUUGGCACCUGGGCCUACAGGAGUCAUGGGGUCGCACCAUCCUGGUGCAUCAUUUUCUAGGAUGCAACCGCAACCUCGUUUGGGAACAUUCAGUGAGGUGUUUUAGUAACUAUUGGUUUUUUUUAUAUUUCAGACUAUCUGUUAAAUACACUAUGUUUUUUUUCCAGAUUUAGGUUACCUCUGGUUUUUUUUUAAUAUGACAUAUUUGUAUAUUAUUGUAUUUGGUUCCCAAACUUUGUAUCUACGGUAACUUCUUGUGCACAGGAAUAAGCCUAGAGAAAAUUAGGUUUUUAAUACUUUAUUAUUGCUUUGAUAUUGGUUUAUGUAAUUCGGGUAAAUUUAUUUUUUAAUAUUACUAGCUUGUUUCCCAAAUAUUUUACUAUUAUUCGCUUUAUUCCAUUUGUUCGGUUAAUUUAGGUCAUCGUCGGUAUUUAUCUCAACUUCAUUUCUACUUUAGUCAAUUGUAUAUUUAACUUUAUUUAUUCAUUACUGUAUUUUCCCUUAGUGAGGCUUGGGCCUAUUUAUUUGUAGUAUUUUCAUCUUUGUCAGUUUCCUUAGUUGUACGUAGCAGGCGUACUAUAA
This 1089-nucleotide long non-coding RNA is filed under the name Diabrotica virgifera virgifera (western corn rootworm). Its description in RNAcentral is "uncharacterized LOC126882544". Lineage: Eukaryota; Metazoa; Arthropoda; Insecta; Coleoptera; Chrysomelidae. The record is from RNAcentral.